Molecule: ribosomal RNA, 470 nt
Filed under: Boana stenocephala
Lineage: Eukaryota; Metazoa; Chordata; Amphibia; Anura; Hylidae
Description: partial 12S ribosomal RNA
Source: RNAcentral
UGGUCCUAGCCUUGAAGUCAAUUUUUACUUUACUUAUACAUGCAAGUCUCCGCACCCCUGUGAAAACGCCCUUUGAUCCCUCUCAGGGAUAAGGAGCUGGUAUCAGGCACAACACUUAGCCCAAGACACCUAGCUACGCCACACCCACAAGGGACCUCAGCAGUAAUUAACCUUGAACAUAAGCGCCAGCUUGAUUCAAUUAAAGUAAGAAGGGCAGGCAAAUUUGGUGCCAGCCGCCGCGGUUAUACCAUGAGGCCCAAAUUGACUUCUUUCGGCGUAAAGAGUGAUUAAAGUAAAACCACCCUGUAGUUAAACUAAGAUUAAGUCGUGACAAGCUUGUGCUUAGGAGACCCAAAAACGAAAGCUACUACACCCAAAACAACUUGAACUCACAAUCGCUAAGAAACAAACUAGGAUUAGAGACCCUACUAUGCUUAGCCACAAACUUUUAAUUACACCCCAAACGCCAG